GAGAUCGGGAUAACACCUGGAAACAGAUGCUAAUACCGGAUAACAACAGAUGAUGCCUAUCAACUGUUUAAAAGAUGGUUCUGCUAUCACUCUUGGAUGGACCUGCGGUGCAUUAGCUAGUUGGUAGGGUAACGGCCUACCAAGGCGACGAUGCAUAGCCGAGUUGAGAGACUGAUCGGCCACAUUGGGACUGAGACACGGCCCAAACUCCUACGGGAGGCAGCAGCG
This 228-nucleotide ribosomal RNA is filed under the name uncultured Lactobacillus sp. RNAcentral describes it as "partial 16S ribosomal RNA". It matches the Rfam family "Bacterial small subunit ribosomal RNA", at positions 134 to 356 of the family's 1533-position model. Lineage: Bacteria; Bacillati; Bacillota; Bacilli; Lactobacillales; Lactobacillaceae. The record is from RNAcentral.